Molecule: non-coding RNA, 29 nt
Filed under: Bombyx mori (domestic silkworm)
Lineage: Eukaryota; Metazoa; Arthropoda; Insecta; Lepidoptera; Bombycidae
Source: RNAcentral
UCCUUGCUGAAUCAGUUUCUCUUCUGAAA